Molecule: ribosomal RNA, 804 nt
Filed under: Triticum aestivum (bread wheat)
Lineage: Eukaryota; Viridiplantae; Streptophyta; Magnoliopsida; Poales; Poaceae
Description: partial small subunit ribosomal RNA
Source: RNAcentral
UUGGCUACACCAAAGUGCCAAGGUGGUAUGGGGUUUCGUGACCCCCAUCCGUUCAAUCUUGCGCUACUCGGGAAGCACGUUUGGCGCUUUAUGACUAACCCUAAUUCUCUGUGCGCAAGGCUAAUGAAAGGUCGCUACUUUCCUGACACAGAUUUCUUGCAUGCUUCUAUCCCCAAAUCAGUGUCAGCUACUUGGCGAGCUAUUAUUGCUGGCAGAGAAGCUUUGCAAGUGGGCCUUAUCAAAAGAGUGGGAGACAGGAGCUCCAUUGAUGUGUGGACUGAUAAGUGGAUUCCCGGGACCAUAUCUAUGAAACCUUUGCUGAAGCCUCAAAACACUAAUGUUCAGACAGUCUCGGAUCACAUCGAUACUGAAAACUGGUCGUGGAGGCAGGAAUUGAUCAGGACAACCUUCAUCGCCCCGGAUGCUGAUGCCACUCUUAAUAUCCCAAUCAGGAGAGGGGGAGGAGAGGAUUUUUAUGCUUGGGCCUUUGAACGACCAGGCAACUACACUGUUAAAUCUGUGUACCGUGCUCUAGUGACUCAGAACGAGCGCAUUGCUCUAGAGGAAGGGACGGCUACCGGUGCUUCAAGAGAUGAUAAACAGAUAUGGACGGCCUUGUGGAAACUCAAAGUGAUCCCAAAGGUACGAGCGUUCUGGUGGAGGGUACUGAGAGGGAUCCUACCAGAUGAAUGCACUCGAAAGUAUCGCCAUAUUGCAGUCUUAGACACUUGCAAAAUUUGCUUGGCAAGAGAGGAGGAUCUCAUGCAUGCGCUCAUUCAAUGCUCUCAUGCACGACAUUUCUAG